RNAcentral lists this ribosomal RNA (356 nucleotides) under uncultured bacterium. RNAcentral's name for it is "bacterial SSU rRNA". It matches the Rfam family "Bacterial small subunit ribosomal RNA", at positions 425 to 793 of the family's 1533-position model. The record is from RNAcentral.
GUAAAGCUCUGUCCUCAAGGAAGAAUAAAUGACGGUACUUGAGGAGGAAGACCCCGGCUAACUACGUGCCAGCAGCCGCGGUAAUACGUACGGGGGCAAGCGUUAUCCGGAAUCACUGGGCGUAAAGGGUGCGUAGGCGGUUUUCAAGUCAGAAGUGAAAGGCUAUGGCUCAACCAUAGUAAGCUUUUGUAAACUAGUUAAACUUGAGUGCAGGAGAGGAAAGUGGAAUUCCUAGUGUAGAGGUGAAAUUCGUAGAUAUUAGGAGGAACACCAGUGGCGAAGGCGACUUUCUGGACUGUAACUGACGCUGAGGCACGAAAGCGUGGGGAGCGAACAGGAUUAGAUACCCCUGGUAG